CAUGAUACUUGAUAUGGACUUGUGCCCAGAUGAUACAGAUUCUUAUAUUGAUAGUGAAGUCUCAAGGUAUCAAAAUGAGGAUACCAGAAGGAUAAUUAUAAGAUUGGAACAGUGUGCUCAAUCAUCCAUACAAAGAGCCAUUGCAUCUCGGGGUGCACUUGCUGUCUUGUAUGGGCGCCAUUUGAAGCAUUAUAUAAGGGAAACUGAGGUCAUACUUGGCAGAGCAACGGAUGAUAUGGAAGUUGAUAUUGACUUAAGAAGAGAAGGACCUGCCAACAAAAUAUCCAGACAGCAGGCACUCAUAAAAAUGGAAGCAGAUGGUUCCUUCUUCUUGAAGAAUCUGGGUAAGAUUCUUGUAUCUUUGAAUGGCGAAGAAGUUGCUACUGGACAGAGUAUGAGUCUUGGUUCAAAUAGUUUGAUUGAGAUUGGGGGAAUGGCAUUUGUGUUUGAAAUUAACAGAAAAUCUGUAGGGCAGCACCUGGCAAAUGCCUCAAAAAUCUGCCAACAAAACAACAUCAAAUUUGAAUGGUCAGAAGGAAUUUCAUGAGUAAAGAAAGC
RNAcentral lists this unclassified non-coding RNA (558 nucleotides) under Hevea brasiliensis (rubber tree). Lineage: Eukaryota; Viridiplantae; Streptophyta; Magnoliopsida; Malpighiales; Euphorbiaceae. The record is from RNAcentral.